CACCAGAGGGUGUGUCAUAAUUUAUGAACGACUGCCUAGGGCAAAGUUCAAGGUCAAAAACUUUGGUUUCAGUUGACAACCCCAUGUCCUAUGGUAAAGAUUGUGUCCGCUCUAUAUCUUGAGAACCGUUAUCAUUUCAAAGUUUAUACUUGACAUGUAUAUAAACCAACACCAAAGGGUGUGUCAUAAUUUAUGUGCAACUUCCUAGGUCAAAGGUCAAGGUCAAAAACUUUGGUUUCAGUUGACAACCCCA
RNAcentral lists this long non-coding RNA (253 nucleotides) under Mytilus galloprovincialis (Mediterranean mussel). Lineage: Eukaryota; Metazoa; Mollusca; Bivalvia; Mytilida; Mytilidae. The record is from RNAcentral.